Molecule: long non-coding RNA, 2005 nt
Filed under: Oryza sativa (Asian cultivated rice)
Lineage: Eukaryota; Viridiplantae; Streptophyta; Magnoliopsida; Poales; Poaceae
Description: long non-coding RNA (OSAT_LNC000015)
Source: RNAcentral
CGCAGCACCCCACCUUCCUCUGUGCCUCCUCCCCGGCCGCUCCCUUCCCUUCCUCUCCGUCUCCCAUCCCUUCCCCUUCCUCUCCUCCUCCUCCCGGCCCACGGCGGCCGGAGCUGCCCCUCCCCAGUCCUCUCCCUUCCCGCCGUCCUAAGCUCGGUGUCCACCAGAUCCGGCCGCCACGAGCUCGGGGGCCACCGGAUCCGCCGUCCUGAGCUCGGGGGCGACCAGAUCCGGCAGCCACGAGCUCCUAGGUGGCCAUAUCCGCCCCUCAACACCGUUGCAAUCUACCACCUCCGUGUUCCUGCCGUACUCCGUCUCUGCGCUCCAAAGGUAAUAUCAAGAUGAAGUAGGCUUUAGUUCAAGCUGCUCCUGCACGGGCACUUCUCUAGUUGGUAAAGAAAAUCUAGUCAGUUAAUCAUUCAUAUGUAUGCAGACUAAAUAGUAGUAGUAGUUAGCAGGAAUUAUUUUGCGUCGGGGCAUGAGAUGAAUUACCAGGUAAAGUUGUUUAUCGUCUGUAACUGGCUGCACAAAUGCAACCACACGUUUAAGUCAGGUUAGUGUUGAGCACAAGGUUUUCAUUUUUCUUUAUUGGUUGGCCCAACUAUUUAAGUUGGGCAAACUGGUUCGUUUGCUUAACCAUAUAGCAAUUGUUUUGAUCAUUGAAGUCAAAUGUCGUCACUGAACAUAAUAAUGCUAGAAAGAAAUAAAUUCUUGAUUCUGAAUUACAUUAGUUUUUUCAUACAAGUAUAGCACCUGUGACUAUUUUUAGCUUACAAGUAUAGCAACUCUUCCAUGCAUUUUAUACAGAUUGCCGGAGUAAAAUAUAUGAACACAAGAGAAUUUUUUCAUCGUGAGACAAAAGGUGAUUAUUCCUAGCGUGAAGUAUUCAUUUCACAUCUAAAUAAUAUUUUAUUGUUUCAGCGUUCUAAGACAAUAUUAUAUGUCAGCAGGACCAACUAAUUUUCCUCUCUCGAGCCAUUUUGUGAAGACCUGAUGCAGUGGCAACACAGGUACUCCCACAGCAGGGGUCCUCGCUACUCAAAAAGAUUCUGGUUUAUAUUUAAAAUGUCAUGAGAAAAUAUCAUUAAUUUCACUACCUUAAUGUCAUGAGACUGCUUGUAUCGACAAUGCAUCCUUGAUGCAUCAUUCACCUUCUGCUAUUACCUAAAUAUAUUCCUCAUUUACUGCAUUCAAAGUCUAACUCUUUUGAAGAGACCAUAUGGAAUGAUAACUCUAAGCAUUGAUCUUUUUAUUCUCCUUUUAUAUUUAAUAGGUUGACAUGCUUGUAUAUACAGCAUAUAUACAGUUCAUUAUUAUGCAUGUCUAAGCCCUUGCAUGUCUUUUUGCUUGCAGCUUAAAAAAUAGAGAAGUAUCAUAGUGAUUGAAAGGUACAGAUCGAUCAGAAUGUUUGUACAAUGUUUGCUGGAUGAUUUUAUCUUGAAAGAUAAAAUAUGAAUAUUUGUAAAUGUAUGUGUAAUGUGUACCAUUAAAUUGUAACAUGGACUAGAAAAUAGUUGGGAGACUUGGACUUGCUAUUUUCUUGCUAUAGGGUUGUAAACAGUAUUGACACAGUUGAAACUUGAUGUAUAUCUCAUUGAAGUUGAUGUCUCUGUGCACAAAUUGUACUGUGGAUGUUUGAUUGCUAUAGCAAAUUGGUGUAAAUAAAGAGCUUUCUGUUUUUAUUGUUAUUAAUUUUUUUUUCUAUAGAAAGCCAAUUUUUCUGACGGGGCACACUACAGGAAAAGUAAAUGUGACGGUUAUUUCUGUCGGUUGAAUAUAAAAAAUAUCCUCUCUCAAACCUGAGGCCAGGGCAAUUUUUCUGUGAGCCACCCACAGAAAAUAGCCGUCAGAAAAUAUUUUUCUGUAGGGAAACCGACAGAAAAACUGAAUUUCUCCGUGGUGAUUUUUCUGUCGGUAAUUUCUGACGGUUCACCCACAGGAAUUUAUUUUCUGACGGUAAAAUCUAUUUUCCUGACGGUUUCGCUCCUACAGGCUAGGUCCUAAG